RNAcentral lists this ribosomal RNA (441 nucleotides) under uncultured Pelagibacterales bacterium. Its description in RNAcentral is "bacterial SSU rRNA". It matches the Rfam family "Bacterial small subunit ribosomal RNA", at positions 1077 to 1533 of the family's 1533-position model. The record is from RNAcentral. Lineage: Bacteria; Pseudomonadati; Pseudomonadota; Alphaproteobacteria; Candidatus Pelagibacterales.
UGGGUAGUCCGCACGAGCGCACCCCACUUUUAGUUGCUACCAUUUAGUUGGGCACUCUAAAAGAACUGCCGGUGAUAAGCUGGAGGAAGGCGGGGAUGACGUCAAGUCCUCAUGGCCCUUACGUGUUGGGCUACACACGUGCUACAAUGGUAUUCACAGUGAGAAGCGAAGAGGCGACUCUAAGCCAAUCCCAAAAAGAUACCUCAGUUUGGAUUGUACUCUGCAACUCGAGUACAUGAAGCUGGAAUUACUAGUAAUCGCGGAUCAGCGCGCCGCGGUGAAUACGUUCCCGGGUCUUGUACACACCGCCCGUCACACCAUGGAAGUUGGUUACACCUUAAGGCAAAGCAUAAAACCUUUGACUACGGUACGAUCAGCGACUGGGGUGAAGUCGUAACAAGGUAGCCGUAGGGGAACCUGCGGCUGGAUCACCUCCUUUCU